RNAcentral lists this ribosomal RNA (1008 nucleotides) under Cellulophaga lytica. RNAcentral describes it as "bacterial SSU rRNA". It matches the Rfam family "Bacterial small subunit ribosomal RNA", at positions 185 to 1199 of the family's 1533-position model. The record is from RNAcentral. Lineage: Bacteria; Pseudomonadati; Bacteroidota; Flavobacteriia; Flavobacteriales; Flavobacteriaceae.
UAUGGCAUCAUUUAAAUAAUAAAGUUUACGGUGUAAGAUGAGUAUGCGUCCCAUUAGUUUGUUGGUAAGGUAACGGCUUACCAAGACUACGAUGGGUAGGGGCCCUGAGAGGGGGAUCCCCCACACUGGUACUGAGACACGGACCAGACUCCUACGGGAGGCAGCAGUGAGGAAUAUUGGACAAUGGAGGAGACUCUGAUCCAGCCAUGCCGCGUGCAGGAAGACGGUCCUAUGGAUUGUAAACUGCUUUUAUACAGGAAGAAUAAGGACUACGUGUAGUCUGGUGACGGUACUGUAAGAAUAAGGACCGGCUAACUCCGUGCCAGCAGCCGCGGUAAUACGGAGGGUCCGAGCGUUAUCCGGAAUUAUUGGGUUUAAAGGGUCCGUAGGCGGGCUGUUAAGUCAGGGGUGAAAGUUUGCAGCUCAACUGUAGAAUUGCCUUUGAUACUGAUGGUCUUGAAUUAUUGUGAAGUGGUUAGAAUAUGUAGUGUAGCGGUGAAAUGCAUAGAUAUUACAUAGAAUACCGAUUGCGAAGGCAGAUCACUAACAAUUGAUUGACGCUGAUGGACGAAAGCGUGGGUAGCGAACAGGAUUAGAUACCCUGGUAGUCCACGCCGUAAACGAUGGAUACUAGCUGUUUGGAUUUCGAUCUGAGCGGCCAAGCGAAAGUGAUAAGUAUCCCACCUGGGGAGUACGUUCGCAAGAAUGAAACUCAAAGGAAUUGACGGGGGCCCGCACAAGCGGUGGAGCAUGUGGUUUAAUUCGAUGAUACGCGAGGAACCUUACCAGGGCUUAAAUGUAGAUUGACAGGUUUAGAGAUAGACUUUCCUUCGGGCAAUUUACAAGGUGCUGCAUGGUUGUCGUCAGCUCGUGCCGUGAGGUGUCAGGUUAAGUCCUAUAACGAGCGCAACCCCUGUUGUUAGUUACCAGCACAUUAUGGUGGGGACUCUAGCAAGACUGCCGGUGCAAACCGUGAGGAAGGUGGGGAUGACGUCAAAUCAUCACGGC